This 1363-nucleotide long non-coding RNA is filed under the name Marmota monax (woodchuck). The record is from RNAcentral. Lineage: Eukaryota; Metazoa; Chordata; Mammalia; Rodentia; Sciuridae.
GUGCUUGGCUUCUGUUCUAAUUCUAAGGUAACUGUCUAUAAAUGGUAAUGUAGGCUAAUGGCUUCGACUCUGAAUGGUAUAGGACUUCAGAAAAGAGAAAAUUCUGUAUAUCAAAGCAUUACACAAAGCUAUUUGAAUAAGGAAGAUUUUGUAUGUCAUCUUAAUAUAUGGGAAAUAAUUAAAUAGGUAGAGCAAAGAGCACUGGACUUAUUGUUAUAGGGAUACUAUAAAAUAUAUAAGUAAAUUUUAAUCAUACUAAUUAUUAUGGGCUAAAUUGUACCUCUGUCUUAGCACUGACCAAAAAAGAAAAGAAAAGAAAAAUGGAUAUUGUAAUUUCCAGUACUUCAGAAUGUGAAAAUAUGGCCAUUGCAGAUAUAAGAAUCUGAGAACGUCAUGCUGGAGCAGAGUGCAGCCCUACUCCAAAAUGAUGUGUUUCCAGAUAUGCACACAGUGGGAACAUCACAUAACAAGGAAGAUGAAGACUGAAUUCAUGAAGCUUCAAGUCAAAGAAUGCCAAAGAUUUCUUCUAGUAAACAACCUCAGCCUAGGAAGAAGAAAAUAGGGAUUCCUUUGUAGUUUUCAUAGGGCAUGAGUUUCCAACACCUGAAUUUUAAACAUUCAGAAUGGAGUUUUAAAACAAUUCUUCUGUUAAAACCACUCAGUUUGUGGUACUUUAUUAUAUCAGCCCUGGGAAACUUAUAUAUAAAUAAAGAAGACACUUUUAAUUAUUUAAGGAGGGAAGUGGGAUAGAAAGUCAUAAACAAACCCAAUAAUGGUAUUGACAACAUUGCUUAAACAUGUACAUAAUGGUUAGGUAUGAAUAUGCUUGUUAUAAUUGCAUCAAAUACUUACUCUGUAUUCUUUUGUUUCUGAGCAGCCUUUCUGCUUUCACCACCAUCUGCUGGGGUGUUCCAACACUGUAUUAUGUAAUCCAGGCCAACAAUAGCAACAUGGCGACCACAACUGGAGGGAUAUGAGAAAGUGCCCCAACCACAUUAGAUGUGUAUGAUUUGCUCAGGUGCUAGGAUAAGGUGUAUGAUUCUGGUCAACUGAUGGCUCUCCUCCCAGUGAAGAUUUGGGAAUUCACAGGUUUUUGUCAUGUUAUCUUCUUCUGAUCCCUUGGGGUCUAAUUUUUAUAUACAUCUGGUGAAUGAAUGGGAAAAGGACAUGGAGAGAAUCACAGGAGGAUUUCUGUUGUUCAGACUUAAAGCUGAAUUAUGGGAUACAUAAUUUCUGGUCAGAUCCACUGAUUAGAGCUGAAGUACAUGUUUACACCUCAUUCAAGGAAGUCUGGUAAAGGCAGGAUAGCUUUGUAUUGGGGGGGGAGAAGAAGGAGGCAGAGGAGGAGGAGAGGAAAGGGAGG